This 422-nucleotide ribosomal RNA is filed under the name uncultured eukaryote. RNAcentral describes it as "bacterial SSU rRNA". It matches the Rfam family "Eukaryotic small subunit ribosomal RNA", at positions 592 to 1018 of the family's 1831-position model. The record is from RNAcentral.
CAAGAGCGUAUAUUAAAGUUGUUGCAGUUAAAAAGCUCGUAGUUGGAUUUCUGGUACAACGCGCCUGGCCCGCUUUAUGUGAGUGCCGGUGCGCGUUUGCCAUCCUUCUAGAAAACGUUUCUACCUGGGCAACCGGGCCGGACUCGCGAUCUAGAUCUUUUACUUUGAAAAAUUAGAGUGUUUAAAGCAGGCUUUUGCUGUGAAUACAUUAGCAUGGAAUAAUAAGAUAGGACCGCGUGGUCGUCUUGUUGGUUUGCACCGCGAGGUAAUGAUUAAUAGGUACAGUUGGGGGUAUUCGUAUUUAAUUGUCAGAGGUGAAAUUCUUGGAUUUAUGAAAGACGAACUUCUGCGAAAGCAUUUACCAAGGAUGUUUUCAUUAAUCAAGAACGAAAGUUAGGGGAUCGAAGACGAUUAGAUACCAU